This is a long non-coding RNA of Physeter macrocephalus (sperm whale), 495 nucleotides long. RefSeq lists it as uncharacterized. The record is from RefSeq and is a predicted model, not a curated record. The transcript is spliced from 4 exons. NCBI's taxonomy places the organism in Eukaryota, Metazoa, Chordata, Mammalia, Artiodactyla, Physeteridae.
CUGGGAACCCUUCACAAGCCCUGCUAACCUUCUACAGGAUGACAGCCUCGUAGAGGAAGGUCCCAACCACAGCAGCCAUCCCCGCUGAAGCCCCCCACACACAAGUGAGGCUACCCUGGAUCAGCCCCAGGAAAGAACACCUGAUCAGGGAUGUGCCUGUCCUACACCCUGAUCCUUGUCAUCCCAGCCCAUCGCCGCGAGAUCGCAGCCAAGCAAGGGAAGCCAAAUUAUGGAAUAUCUGGCCAGAGACUAUACUGCAGUUCUCCUGUUUCCUGGAUGUAGAGGAAAGAGCAGACAGAUCUCAGAUUGAAUCCCUGCUCCUUAGGCAAAGCACUAGACCUGGCUGAGCCUCGAUCUCUCUAACACGGGAACCCCACUAUCUCCGUGUGGAUUGUCAGGAAGAUUAAAGAAGGCCAUCCAUGAGGAUCCAAUUUAAAAACUUGGAUGUGAAAAAUGGGCAGAAGAACAAAAUAGACAUUUCUCCAAAGAAGAUAU